GACGAACGCUGGCGGCGUGCUUAAUACAUGCAAGUCGAACGGUAAGGCGAUGCUUUUGUGGGGUGCUCGAGUGGCGAACGGGUGUGUAUCACGCGAGUAACCUGUCCUUGACUGUGGGAUAACUCCAGGAAACUGGGGAUCAUACAGGAUAGGAGCUCCUGCUGCAUGGUGGGGGUUGGUAAGUUUCGGAGGUUGGGCAUGGACUGGUGGCUUAUCAGCUUGUUGGUGGGGUAGUGGCUUACCAAGGCUUUGACGGGUAGCCGGCCUGGGAGGGUGACCGGGCACAGUGGGACUGGGAUACGGCCCAGACUCCUACGGGAGGCAGCAGUGGGGAAUAUUGCACAAUGGGCCGAAGCCUGAUGCAGCAACGCCGCGUGGGGGAUGUCGGCCGUCGGGUUGUAAACCGCUUUCGCCUGUAACGAAGCGUGAGUGACGGUAAUGGGUAAAGAAGCACCGGCUAACUACGUG
RNAcentral lists this ribosomal RNA (468 nucleotides) under uncultured bacterium. Its description in RNAcentral is "partial 16S ribosomal RNA". It matches the Rfam family "Bacterial small subunit ribosomal RNA", at positions 28 to 507 of the family's 1533-position model. The record is from RNAcentral.